CCGCGGUAAUACGUAGGGGUCGAGCGUUAUCCGGAUUCAUUGGGCGUAAAGCGCGCGUAGGCGGCCGCCUAAGCGGAACCUCUAACCCCGGGGCUCAACCUCGGGCCGGGUUCCGGACUGGCAGCCUCGAGUGCGGUAGGGGUAAGCGGAAUUCCCGGUGUAGCGGUGGAAUGCGCAGAUAUCGGGAAGAACACCGAUGGCGAAGGCAGCUUACUGGGCCGACACUGACGCUGAGGCGCGAAAGCUAGGGGAGCGAACAGG
RNAcentral lists this ribosomal RNA (261 nucleotides) under uncultured bacterium. RNAcentral describes it as "partial 16S ribosomal RNA". It matches the Rfam family "Bacterial small subunit ribosomal RNA", at positions 515 to 776 of the family's 1533-position model. The record is from RNAcentral.